AUUGAACGCUGGCGGCAGGCAUAAAACAUGCAAGUCGAACGAGUGGCGGACGGGUGCGUAAUGUCUGGGAAACUCCCUGAUGGAGGGGGAUAACUACUGGAAACGGUAGCUAAUACCGCAUACCAUCGGAUGUGCCCAGAUGGGAUUAGCUAGUAGGUGGGGUAAAGGCUACCCUAGGCGACGAUCCCUAGCUGGUCUGAGAGGAUGACCAUCCACACUGGAACUGAGGCACGGUCCAGACUCCUACUGGAGGCAGCAGUGGGAAAUCUUGCACGAUGGGCGCAAGCCGUAUGCUGCCUUGCCGCGUGUAUGCUGAAGUCCUUCGGGUUGUAAAGUACUUUCAGCGGGGAGGCGUUACCCGCAGAAGAAGCACCGGCUAACUCCGUGCCAGCCGCCGCGGUAAUAC
Molecule: ribosomal RNA, 406 nt
Filed under: uncultured bacterium
Lineage: Bacteria
Description: partial 16S ribosomal RNA
Rfam family: Bacterial small subunit ribosomal RNA
Source: RNAcentral